Molecule: long non-coding RNA, 694 nt
Filed under: Panax ginseng (ginseng)
Lineage: Eukaryota; Viridiplantae; Streptophyta; Magnoliopsida; Apiales; Araliaceae
Description: long non-coding RNA (PGIN_LNC006412)
Source: RNAcentral
GACUAUACCUACUUACCCCUCUCUUUUCCCUCCCUCAAAUCUAUAAACCAAUCAUUAAAUAUAUGUAUGUAUACAUACAUAUGUAUAUUACGUAUAUAAUAUAUAAUAUAAUAUAUAAUAUAUAAUAUACUACAUAUAUAAAUAUACUUGUAUAAAUACAUAUGUAUAUAUAAUUAAUAUAAUAUAAAUAUAAUAAUAUAAUAAUAUAAUAUAAUAUAUAUUUCUUAAAUAUCUAAGACCUAUAAAAUUAGUCUCCUACGACUAUACUUACUUACCCCUCUCUUUCCCUCCUCAAAUCUAUAAACCAAUCAUUAAAUAUAUGUAUGUAUACAUACAUAUGUAUAUUAAGUAUAUAAUAUAAUAUAUAAUAAUACUACAUAUAUAGAUAUACUUAUAUAAAUACAUAUGUAUAUAUAAUAUAAUAUAAUAUAAUAUCUAUUUUCUAAAUAUCUAGGACCUAUAAAAUUAGUCUCCUACGCCUAUACCUACUUACCCCUCUUUCCCUCCUCAAAUCUAUCACAAAAUCUAAAUCCUACAACAUUCGUACUACUUCCCACCUUUCUCCAAUCUGUUGCUCUUGUCAAACCUGUGUUCUAAAACAAAAAUUUAAGUUAAAAAAUAAGAAUAAAAAUAUAACAAUAAAUAGUACCUCUUGUUCUACUAGAAGUAAAGACUUUUAAAGUGAGCAAGUCUG